ACAGGAUUAGAUACCCUGGUAGUCCACGCCGUAAACGAUGUCGACUUGGAGGCUGUUCCCUUGAGGAGUGGCUUCCGGAGCUAACGCGUUAAGUCGACCGCCUGGGGAGUACGGCCGCAAGGUUAAAACUCAAAUGAAUUGACGGGGGCCCGCACAAGCGGUGGAGCAUGUGGUUUAAUUCGAUGCAACGCGAAGAACCUUACCUACUCUUGACAUCCAGAGAACUUUCCAGAGAUGGAUUGGUGCCUUCGGGAACUCUGAGACAGGUGCUGCAUGGCUGUCGUCAGCUCGUGUUGUGAAAUGUUGGGUUAAGUCCCGCAACGAGCGCAACCCUUAUCCUUUGUUGCCAGCGAUUCGGUCGGGAACUCAAAGGAGACUGCCGGUGAUAAACCGGAGGAAGGUGGGGAUGACGUCAAGUCAUCAUGGCCCUUACGAGUAGGGCUACACACGUGCUACAAUGGCGCAUACAAAGAGAAGCGACCUCGCGAGAGCAAGCGGACCUCAUAAAGUGCGUCGUAGUCCGGAUCGGAGUCUGCAACUCGACUCCGUGAAGUCGGAAUCGCUAGUAAUCGUGGAUCAGAAUGCCACGGUGAAUACGUUCCCGGGCCUUGUACACACCGCCCGUCACACCAUGGGAGUGGGUUGCAAAAGAAGUAGGUAGCUUAACCUUCGGGAGGGCGCUUACCACUUUGUGAUUCAUGACUGGGGUGAAGUCGUAACAAGGUACC
This 728-nucleotide ribosomal RNA is filed under the name uncultured bacterium. Its description in RNAcentral is "bacterial SSU rRNA". It matches the Rfam family "Bacterial small subunit ribosomal RNA", at positions 772 to 1500 of the family's 1533-position model. The record is from RNAcentral.